GAUGAACGCUGGCGGCGUGCCUAAUACAUGCAAGUCGAGCGAACGGACGAGAAGCUUGCUUCUCUGAUGUUAGCGGCGGACGGGUGAGUAACACGUGGAUAACCUACCUAUAAGACUGGGAUAACUUCGGGAAACCGGAGCUAAUACCGGAUAAUAUUUUGAACCGCAUGGUUCAAAAGUGAAAGACGGUCUUGCUGUCACUUAUAGAUGGAUCCGCGCUGCAUUAGCUAGUUGGUAAGGUAACGGCUUACCAAGGCAACGAUGCAUAGCCGACCUGAGAGGGUGAUCGGCCACACUGGAACUGAGACACGGUCCAGACUCCUACGGGAGGCAGCAGUAGGGAAUCUUCCGCAAUGGGCGAAAGCCUGACGGAGCAACGCCGCGUGAGUGAUGAAGGGCUUCGGAUCGUAAAACUCUGUUAUUAGGGAAGAACAUAUGUGUAAGUAACUGGGCACAUCUUGACGGUACCUAAUCAGAAAGCCACGGCUAACUACGUGC
RNAcentral lists this ribosomal RNA (498 nucleotides) under uncultured bacterium. Its description in RNAcentral is "partial 16S ribosomal RNA". It matches the Rfam family "Bacterial small subunit ribosomal RNA", at positions 28 to 508 of the family's 1533-position model. The record is from RNAcentral.